Molecule: ribosomal RNA, 253 nt
Filed under: uncultured prokaryote
Description: partial 16S ribosomal RNA
Rfam family: Bacterial small subunit ribosomal RNA
Source: RNAcentral
UACGUAGGGAGCAAGCGUUGUCCGGAAUCACUGGGCGUAAAGGGUGCGUAGGCGGCCCAUUAAGUCAGAUGUGAAAUACCCGUGCUCAACAUGGGGGGUGCAUCUGAAACUGGUGGGCUUGAGUGCAGGAGAGGAAAGCGGAAUUCCUAGUGUAGCGGUGAAAUGCGUAGAUAUUAGGAGGAACACCAGUGGCGAAGGCGGCUUUCUGGACUGUAACUGACGCUGAGGCACGAAAGCGUGGGGAGCAAACAGG